CCUACGGGAGGCAGCAGUGAGGAAUAUUGGUCAAUGGACGAGAGUCUGAACCAGCCAAGUAGCGUGAAGGAUGACUGCCCUAUGGGUUGUAAACUUCUUUUAUAAGGGAAUAAAACGAGGCACGUGUGCCUUUUUGCAUGUACUUUAUGAAUAAGGAUCGGCUAACUCCGUGCCAGCAGCCGCGGUAAUACGGAGGAUCCGAGCGUUAUCCGGAUUUAUUGGGUUUAAAGGGAGCGUAGAUGGGUUGUUAAGUCAGUUGUGAAAGUUUGCGGCUCAACCGUAAAAUUGCAAUUGAUACUGGCAGUCUUGAGUACAGUUGAGGUAGGCGGAAUUCGUGGUGUAGCGGGGAAAUGCUUAGAUAUCACGAAGAACCCCGAUUGCGAAGGCAGCCUACUAAACUGUGACUGACAUUGAUGCUCGAAAGUGUGGGUAUCAAACAGGAUUAGAUACCCUUGUAGUC
This 460-nucleotide ribosomal RNA is filed under the name uncultured bacterium. RNAcentral describes it as "partial 16S ribosomal RNA". It matches the Rfam family "Bacterial small subunit ribosomal RNA", at positions 338 to 795 of the family's 1533-position model. The record is from RNAcentral.